RNAcentral lists this ribosomal RNA (497 nucleotides) under uncultured bacterium. Its description in RNAcentral is "partial 16S ribosomal RNA". It matches the Rfam family "Bacterial small subunit ribosomal RNA", at positions 28 to 507 of the family's 1533-position model. The record is from RNAcentral.
GAUGAACGCUGGCGGCGUGCCUAAUACAUGCAAGUCGAGCGAACAGACGAGUAGCUUGCUCCUCUGACGUUAGCGGCGGACGGGUUAGUAACACGUGGAUAACCUACCUAUAAGACUGGGAUAACUUCGGGAAACCGGAGCUAAUACCGGAUAAUAUAUUGAACCGCAUGGUUCAAUAGUGAAAGACGGUUUUGCUGUCACUUAUAGAUGGAUCCGCGCCGCAUUAGCUAGUUGGUAAGGUAACGGCUUACCAAGGCAACGAUGCGUAGCCGACCUGAGAGGGUGAUCAGCCACACUGGAACUGAGACACGGUCCAGACUCCUACGGGAGGCAGCAGUAGGGAAUCUUCCGCAAUGGGCGAAAGCCUGACGGAGCAACGCCGCGUGAGUGAUGAAGGUCUUCGGAUCGUAAAACUCUGUUAUUAGGGAAGAACAAAUGUGUAAGUAACUAUGCACGUCUUGACGGUACCUAAUCAGAAAGCCACGGCUAACUACGUG